RNAcentral lists this ribosomal RNA (325 nucleotides) under uncultured eukaryote. RNAcentral describes it as "partial 18S ribosomal RNA". It matches the Rfam family "Eukaryotic small subunit ribosomal RNA", at positions 1470 to 1796 of the family's 1831-position model. The record is from RNAcentral.
CCCUUAGAUGUUCUGGGCCGCACGCGUGCUACACUGAGUGGAUCAGCGGGUCAGGUUGCGCGAAAGUGUUUCCUAAUCUUGAAAUCCGCUCGUGAUGGGGAUUGACGGUUGCAAUUUUCCGUCAUGAACGAGGAAUACCUUGUAAGCGCGGGUCAUCAGCUCGCGUUGAUUACGUCCCUGCCCUUUGUACACACCGCCCGUCGCUACUACCGAUUGAAUGGUUUAGUGAGGACUCCUGAUUGGCGCCGCCGCCCCGGCAACGGAGCAGCGGACUGCCGAAAAGUUGUUCAAACUUGAUCAUUUAGAGGAAGUAAAAGUCGUAACA